GUGGCGAGAGGAUUCAGUCUGGAGCGGCGGACACGUGGACCAGAAAUAAAAGCAGGGCUUCCCCGAGCGGGGGCCGUCUGGUCUCGUGGAGCUUCCGUCGCGUCCGACGCAUUUGUCUCUCGUCCUAAGGACGCCGCGGCCGGUUGAGGACCCGCAAACGUGACGGCCUGAGGGGCGGAAAAUGGCAGGUGGCCGGUGGCGAGCUUCGUGUUCGCCGUCGGUUGUUAGCCGUUCCGCCAGUGGCUCGUCCCUUGACCGAGGUGUCGCAAGGCCCGAGUGGCCACGUCGUCUCCUCCUCUGUAAUUUGGAAGUCGGAACAGAGCGUCGCAGGUGGCAACCGUCGUCCCGUUCGCACCCCUGCGGGGUGGUCGGGCGCACGUGGGGCCGCCGAUGGUGGCGUCGGGUCCGUUGGAGGCUGGAGGCUCGCGGCGAGUAGGUCGGUCACCCACCUGACCCGUCUUGAAACACGGACCAAGGAGUCUAACAUGUGCGCGAGUCAUUGGGUCUUGAAUAGGCCCAGGGGCGCAAUGAAAGCAAAGGCCUUCUCUACGGAGGCCGAGUUGGGAUCCCCCCUUCACGGGGGGGCGCACCAACGACCCGUCCUAUCCGGUUCGCCGGUUGGGCGGAGUAUGAGCGUACACGUUGGGACCCGAAAGAUGGUGAACUAUGCCCGGACAGGACGAGGCCAGAGGAAACUCUGGUGGAGGUCCGCAGCGGUGCUGACGUGCAAAUCGAUCGUCAGAUCCGGGUCUAGGGC
Molecule: ribosomal RNA, 757 nt
Filed under: Lathys alberta
Lineage: Eukaryota; Metazoa; Arthropoda; Arachnida; Araneae; Dictynidae
Description: partial 28S ribosomal RNA
Rfam family: Eukaryotic large subunit ribosomal RNA (bases 471-757)
Source: RNAcentral